Molecule: ribosomal RNA, 452 nt
Filed under: uncultured bacterium
Lineage: Bacteria
Description: bacterial SSU rRNA
Rfam family: Bacterial small subunit ribosomal RNA
Source: RNAcentral
AACGAACGCUGGCGGCAGGCUUAACACAUGCAAGUCGAACGCACCCUUCGGGGUGAGUGGCAGACGGGUGAGUAACGCGUGGGAACGUGCCCUUCAGUUCGGAAUAACCCAGGGAAACUUGGGCUAAUACCGGAUACGCCCGAAAGGGGAAAGAUUGAUUGCUGAAGGAUCGGCCCGCGUCUGAUUAGCUGGUUGGUAGGGUAAUGGCCUACCAAGGCGACGAUCAGUAGCUGGUCUGAGAGGAUGAUCAGCCACACUGGGACUGAGACACGGCCCAGACUCCUACGGGAGGCAGCAGUGGGGAAUAUUGGACAAUGGGCGCAAGCCUGAUCCAGCCAUGCCGCGUGAGUGAUGACGGCCUUAGGGUUGUAAAGCUCUUUCGGCGGGGACGAUAAUGACGGUACCCGCAGAAGAAGCCCCGGCUAACUUCGUGCCAGCCGCCGCCGUAACAC